GCCGGGUGUGGUGGCAUGCACUUGUAGACCCAGCUACUCGGGAGGCUGAGGUGGGAGGAUUGCUUGAGCCCAGGAGUUCAAGGCUGCAGUGAGCUGUGAUUGGGCCACUGCACUCCAGCCUGGGCAACAGAGCAAGACCCUGUCUCAA
This 148-nucleotide non-coding RNA is filed under the name Homo sapiens (human). The record is from Rfam by way of RNAcentral. Lineage: Eukaryota; Metazoa; Chordata; Mammalia; Primates; Hominidae.